RNAcentral lists this transfer RNA (75 nucleotides) under marine sediment metagenome. It matches the Rfam family "tRNA". From Rfam's summary of the family: Transfer RNA (tRNA) molecules are approximately 80 nucleotides in length. Their secondary structure includes four short double-helical elements and three loops (D, anti-codon, and T loops). Further hydrogen bonds mediate the characteristic L-shaped molecular structure. tRNAs have two regions of fundamental functional importance: the anti-codon, which is responsible for specific mRNA codon recognition, and the 3' end, to which the tRNAs corresponding amino acid is attached (by aminoacyl-tRNA synthetases). tRNAs cope with the degeneracy of the genetic code in two manners: having more than one tRNA (with a specific anti-codon) for a particular amino acid; and 'wobble' base-pairing, i.e. permitting non-standard base-pairing at the 3rd anti-codon position. The record is from RNAcentral.
CGGGGCGUAGCGCAGCUUGGUUAGCGCAUCGGCCUUGGGAGCCGAGGGUCGGUGGUUCGAAUCCACUCGCCCCGA